UUGAUUUCAGUAGAUUCUGCGCUGAAUAUCGGAAAAGCAUAGGAUAAUUGAGGAUUUUGGGUAUUAUCUGGUUAAUCUUGUUCGGAUUUUGUGGAAGUUGCAAGUAGCUUCACUUUUUUGAGGGAUUAUUCUUCCUGUCAAGAUGAUGAUGUUUGAUGAUAUGAGGUUCUGUGGCGAUCUCGAUUUCUUUCCUGCUCCACUAAAAGAAGUGGAAGCGGCUGCUCCACAGACUGAGCUGGAGCCGGUGGUGGAUGAUGAUUAUAGUGAUGAGGAGAUUGAUGUGGAUGAGUUGGAGAGGAGACUGUGGAGGGACAAGAUGAAGCUGAAAAGGCUGAAGGAAAUGACUAAAAGUAAGGAAGGUGUGGAUCCUGCAAAACAUCGUCAGUUGCAGGAGCAGGCGAGGAGGAAGAAGAGGGCUUUGUUUAUGGGAUCAUUCCGGAAAAAGGCAAGCCGGUCAGUGGGGCAUCUGAUAAUCUAAGGGAGUGGUAGAAAGAUAAAGUGAGGUUCGAUCGAAAUGCCAUAGCCAAAUACCAAGCUGAUCAUGCCAUCCCAGGGAUGAACGAGGGAUCUAAUCCAGUUGGUCCUCAAAUAUUAGCUAUGCUGCUUAUAGAAUGUUUAGAUAAAAUUAAAAAUAAGUUAGCCUAUUUUGUUAUCUGUGUACAAUUUUGGGUGAACUCACCCUGCAGUAAUUUUGAUAUCUUUUUUUUUAUGAAGUAAUUGUUUUCAUUAAUGGCAUCAAGAAGAUGCAUAAAUUACAAAAGAGUGUAGUAAUUGUUAGCUCCUUACAAAUGUUUAGGGAGCUAACAAUAUUCAAAAAACUAUCAGGGGGGUUAAUAGGGGAUAGAUAAGCCCAAUUAUACAAAUACAUGAAGCAUCUGGCCUUGAGUUUGUGAGGAGAAGUUGAUACUCCAUCGAAACACUCUUUCAUUCCAAAUUCUCCAAAAAAUAGCUGCUGGUAUCAUCUUCCAUACUUUUCUGAUGUUGCUAUCAACUUUUCAGUUAAUCCAAGACUCAAAAGCAUCCCUGAUAUUAUGUGGCAUGACCCAUCUAAGCCCAAAGAGUGAUAUAAACAUACUCCAUAAAUCAGUUGCAACAGGCCAUUGAAGAUAAAAAUGACUGAGUUUCUGUCUCUCUCUGACACAUGUAGCAUCUAUUCACAAUCUGAAAAUUCCUCUUGGCUAAAUUGUCUUGUGUCAGACAAGCCUCAUGAAGUGCAGUCCAGUUGAAACAGAUGACUUUGGGUGGCAAUUUGAUUUUCCAUAUUAACUUCCAAGGCCAUUGGUUAGUUAUUACAUUGUGAGUUCCUGCUAACUUGUAUGCUCCUUUGACUGAGUACUUUCCUCAAUCUGAACUACCCCAUUUGAACAGGUCGGUACUAGAAUGUUGCUUGAAAAAUUGUUGAGUGAUGACAGAAGUCUGAGCAGAUGUAAUGACCCAAAAUGUCAUCUUUAAAUUUAAUAAUUAUUUCUGUGAUCUAAGACCUUGGAAAACACUAUUUAUCAUUCCUCGACUUGCGUGUGCAAUCCGUAUAAUUUUUCAGAAAGUUUUAUAUGAAAAAUUGACUAAAAUGUAAAAUAGAGCCUUAAAACUCAACUGAGCAGACGAGGAGUUUUAAUUAUUUCUGUAUAAUUAUUUCUGUGAUCUAAGACCUUGGAAAACACUAUUUAUCAUUCCUCGACUUGCGUGUGCAAUCCGUAUAAUUUUUCAGAAAGUUUUAUAUGAAAAAUUGACUAAAAUGUAAAAUAGAGCCUUAAAACUCAACUGAGCAGACGAGGAGGAAGAAGAUGUCGAGGGCACAGGACGGGAUCUUGAAGUACAUGUUGAAAAUGAUGGAAGUAUGUAAAGCUCAGGGCUUUGUUUAUGGGAUCAUUCCGGAAAAAGGCAAGCCGGUUGGUGGGACAUCUGAUAAUCUUCGGGAGUGGUGGAAGGAUAAAGUGAGAUUCGAUCGAAAUGGCCCUGCGGCCAUAAUAGCCAAAUACCAAGCUGAUCAUGCCAUCCCAGGGAUGAUCGAGGGAUCUAAUCCAGUUGGUCCUACGCCUCACACCUUGCAGGAGCUUAAGAUACCACCCUUGGUUCGUUAUUGUCAGCUCUGAUGCAGCACUGCGAUCCUCCUCAGAGAAGAUUUCCCAUUGGAGAAAGGUGUUUCGCCCCGUGGUGGCCUACAGGGGAGGAGGAUUGCUGGCCUCAGUUGGGUUUUCAGAAGGAACAAAGUCCUCUGCCUUAAAAGAAGCUUCAUGAUCUGAAGAAAGCGUGGAAGGUUGGUGUCCUCACAGCAGUAAUAAAGCACAUGUUCCCCGAUAUUGCUAAAAUCCGUAAGCUUGUAAGGCAGUCAAAGUGCAUUGCAAGAUAAGAUGACAGCCAAAGAAAGUGCAACUUGGCUUGCCUUCAUCAGUCAGGAGGAAGCUUCGGCUCGAGAACUCUAUCCUGAUCGCUGUCCGCCCUUGUCCUCAGCUGGUGCUAGUGGAACUUUUAUGUCGAAUGACAGCAGUAUCACGUUGAAGGUGCUCAAGGUGAGCCCAACUUUGAUGUUCAUGAGCAAAAACCAAACCAUCUCAGCUUGUUGAAUGUUAGUCUCGAGAGAUUCAAGGAGACGCAGCCUCUGCAGCAACAAUCUCAUCCAAACAAAGAUGAAAUGAUCACAAGCUUAGACUUCAACCGGAAGAGGAAGCAAUCCGAUGAACAGACUGUUACGAUGGACCAAAAGAUUUAUACAUGCGAGUUUCCUCAAUGUCCUUACAGUGAACUUCGCCAUGGUUUUCAGGACAGAUCUGCCAGAGACAAUCAUCAAUUAGCUUGCCCUUUCAGAAAUUCUUCCUAAUUGGGAGUUUCAAACUUUCACGUGAAUGAGAUCAAGCCAACUGUCUUCCCUCAUCAAUAUGUCCAGUCAAAGUCAGCUUCUCUGUGAAGUGGUGCCCCAUAUUUUUUUCUGCUGCUGUAUCUUCUGCUUCCAAGUCUGUUUUAACUGUUUGAUUUUCUAUUGCUAUAACAACAUAACUCUUUUAGUUUAUGGUUUGCUUUGGUCAAGUGUCUCCAGGCUUGUGGAUAUGCUUGUUUUAAGUUCAUUUCUAUGGGACUUAGUUAGCUUGCUCAUAUUUGAACAUACUUGAAUUAGCAGAUACCGGGUACCCAGUGGUGUAGGCUGGCGGUCAAUAAAUUAGGUGAAAAUGAUGGCAAAUCGAAGUUCAAAUCAGGUAGAGACAAAAAACGCCAAGUAACUUUUUCCUAUUUGUCCAACUCUAGUGCGGGUGCCUAGUGAAAUAGUCAAGAUGCGCGUAAGUUAGUUUGGCUAUGAUCAUUAUGGAAGAAAAAUAAGAGUAAACAGAUACCCACCUUUAGGGAAAACUGGAAAGUACACAAUUAGCCUAUUUUCCCCUUCCCCACUUCCCUCUCCCAAGAAAAAUGGAACAAGAAAGUAAAUUGAAGGAAUGAAAAAGUAAUAAGACAGGGAUCAUGUGAAUGAGCAGAUCCCAAUUAUGUUUAUUAGUACUUAAUUUCUAAUUUAAGAAGCAAUGUAGUGUUGGCUGGUUCCUUCACAUUCAAUUUUCUUUUGAUUGAUUCUACUUUACUGAACUCUGUUUUCCUUGUAAGAAAAUCGAAAGAUAUGAAACUUAAACAUCAAAUAUAGCAUGGCAAAACUAAUCAGGAAAGUAGUUUUAAUAUUUAUGAGUAAUUCCUAACCUUNNNNNNNNNNNNNNNNNNNNNNNNNAAGAUUUCCGUCAACAAUACAAUAAUUGACGAUGAAGUCUUUGUUCAAAUUUUUUUUUGAUUACCGUGGUGGUGUUCAGGCCAGCUUGCGCACACCUCAGACAAAUUCCACAGGAUACCUGUCAUCUUCUGUCAGCAGGUACCAGGUAAUUCUGUCCACUACGGCUUAGGCAGAUAGAAAAAAAUAAUCACGGAGAGCCACAAGACAAUUUUUUUUUUGUUUGUUUACUACACCUCCAUAUAUACAUGCAUUUGGACAUUUUCCUUCCUAUAUCAACAGAUCCAAUAUAAAAACUAGAAGAUGCACUUCCAUUUAUACAGGUCAAACAGAGAAGAUUAAUAAAUAAAGAAAAAUUUAUUAAACAGGUAAUGCUCAAAGGCAAAUGCAAUGUACAUACAACUAUGCAUUAAGAACUGUCCCAAAAACACUAGACAACUUUUGUUGAUAGGCUAACUGGUUUAUCCCAUUUUCUUAUUAGGAAAAAGAAUUUUCAAGUAGUUUAUUCUCAAACAGUUUGAUGAAAUCAGAACAGUUGUAACAUAAUGACCUGACACAGAAUUGUUUUUAAAUCUUCUACGUGACGAACAUUGGUUAGCUAACACCUGUUUAACAUAAACACGUACUGUUUGUUUUGCUAUUAUAUGCCGAAUCUCGAUUAACUACACAGUUCAGUUAACUAGUUUAUGAUAUACAUGCAAUUUUCGAGCCAUGGAAACAGAAACUAAUGUUGUAUUAGAGUAGAUUGUGUACAUUACACCAUUUAAGGUGCGAUACUUCCCUAAGCCCUCGAGAUGCUUUGUGCAAAGGACAACUCUUUCUAUUGGAUAAGAUUCCUAUGAGAAACAACAAGUUAAAACGAAACAUAAAGAGCCAAAGUAUGAAUUAAUAUAAUUGUGAACGGUAACUCAAACAAUUAACUAAUGUUAUGGGAUAGAUAAAAUCAUUCCAUCAUUAAUUUUCUCUUCAAUGGCGUCAUAGUAAUGGGGUGAAAUGAAUAAGAUCUCCACCUUUAAACGAAAAUCUCGAGUUUGAGCCAUAAAAAUGAAGAAAUUCUUUGUAAAAAUAUUUUUUUCUUUAACGGACCUUGACAAUAAGAACUUAAAUUAAUCGAGCCAAUAAGUAUCAUAUACAAAUGGUUAAAACAAAACGAUAACCCAAUACUUUGUGCUGCUAAAAUACAUGGCAGAAAUAAUGUGCACACAUGCAGGACAGGAAAGCUCAGAGAAUGCCUAUCUAUUUUUUUAUUUUAUUUUUUGGUAAGCAAAAUUUUUUAUUUUCAAACCAAAAGAUAUGUACAGCACAAGUCGAAAACGACAUAAGAGUUUGGAUAUCAUGGAUCAUGCCCCAAACUCUUGCAAACAUCUCCCAUUUGAUUUAUAAGUUUAUCGUUUAUGUUAUUUAAUUUAAUUUUAUAAGAUAUAUCUCUAAUGUUGUAGUUAUGACAGUUUCUUCAAAACCAGCAGACUCUGAAGAAAAUUAAGUUUAAAAAUAGUAAACUAUUAUAAUCUAUAAAANNNNNNNNNNCCAUUGAUAUAAAAAUUAUCCUUUCAAAUUUUUAUUCUGUUAAAUAAAAAAAGAAGAGGGAAAACUGACUUUAUAAGUGAUUUGGGGUGAAAAGUUUUUCCUUUUGGUAUAGCGACAUUUGCCUGUUAGCAUGUAUCAUGUGCAAUUUCACUAUUGUCAAGUCUUUGGGACAAUAAUUGGCCAGUUCCGUUGCCACUUCUACUUACCCCAAGUGUCCCUCCACAUCCAUUGGUUGCCGCCAUCAAACACUUGGAUAAUAACCCCCUUUUUCACUUUCUAACUUUUCCCUUUCUUGUUCUUUCACCUUUUUUUUUUCUACUAACAAAAACAGAAGAUAAAAAAGGUCUAUGAAACAAGGAGUUAAGCAAGGAUCGAGUGAUUGAUAAAGAAUUUGUCCAAAGUUAAUCUUGUCAAGAGUCGAGUCUUUAUCGGAAAUAAUUUUUCUACCCCUUAAAAGUAUAGGGUUGUUCAAAACCGAACCGUAACUGUUAACCGAACCACAAAAACGGCUUAUUGACUUAUUGAUAUCAGGUUAUCGAGGUAAUGGUUGGUGAACGGAUUGAAAUUUUAUAAUUAACGGCUUAACGGUUUGAGAGCGGAUUACUCAAUUUCCUUACCAAAUAAACCGUUAAAAUUUUUUAUAUUUAUACUUUUACCUCUCUUUCUAUGUAUAAAGUAAUAUUUGAUGUAUGAUUGGAUUUGAUGAUAAAUAAUAGAUGUAGACCUUGAUGUAUGAUUGGAUUUGUUUGAUUUUUUCAAUGAAAAUGGUAUUUAAAAUCAUGCCGGAGAGUAAACCUUGGAUAUCACAAAAGCAUAUGAUUAUUCUUCUUAAUGAGGCUACCAAUAUCAUCAAUUUGUGGCAACAGUGAGUGGUGGUGAUUUAGCCUAAGCCUUCAUAGAACAAGAUAUGUAUAUUGUGCUGCCACUGUACGUCAUCAUUUUGUUUGCUAUCAUGAUCUGGUAAGUAAUAUAUGUAGAGUAUAUAUACUUAAGCCACAAUCUUGAACUAUAUGAUCAACAAAAAAUGUUAUCAUUGCCAUCUAAGAGAAAAAAGAGAUUUAUUUUACAAGAAUUGUCUAUUGAGAUUGAGAACCUAUCUCUCUCGCUCUGUACAUGAAAUUGUUAUUAACAGUAUUGCUAAAACCAACUGGAUUAUAUAAAUGCUUGACUAGAGAGAGGCGAGCACCGAGCAGAUGAAUGCUUUACUUCAAAAAAUUUCUUAUCUCUAAUUCUCAACUUUUUUUUUAUUGUCUAUUUGAUUUAGCUGAUAAACCGCCCAAUAAUCGUUAAUCCGAUACCAGUUCACACGAUAUCUUAUUGGAUGGCUAGCGGAUUACUACAUUUAUAAACCGAUAAUGGAUAAGUCAAACCGUUAACGUAAAUAUCUGUCUGAUGUACCCUAUAAGCAACCCUAGGGGUAGGUCUUUAUGCACCACACCCUCCUCAGACCCCACUUAUUGAAUAAUAUGGAGUAUGUUAUUAUUGUUGUUCAAAGUUAGUCUUGUGUACAAUUCUACGGUUAAAAGAAUUUGACUUAAUAAAUCUCAAUAUGUUUAGAUAGUACAGUUUAAAGUUAAGAUGUCACAAUUUAAAAUCGCAAUAACACCAAUUAAAAUGGUUUCAUGGUCUAUGCUAAGUUAACCAAUUGAAUUUUCUCUUCCUCUAUCAACUUUGUGAAGAAAAGAAAAUUAAUAACCUUUAAACACAAAAUAUUAGAAAAUUUUAAUUUCUUAUAAUAUGUUAUACCAUUUGGUUCUUUCCAACUCUAAGCAAAACAUCCCCUUUUCACCUAAAGGAUGUCCUAAACUAAGUUAAGUUUUCUUAAUUACUUUCCUAAUUUACACUCAAUCACUUGCCUUAAAUGCUCUUUUCUCUUUCUAACUUACACUCCAUAUAUGCAAAGAAAAAGAAAAAUGUAAGGCUAUUUGUAUGAUCAAUUUAAGUUGAUCCCCUAAUUGGUCAAAUGUAACUGUCGCAAGAAACAAAUAUUCAAAGAAACUCAAAAGGAUAAGACACCCUAAGGUAAUUGCCAACUCAUAAAUUCAACAAAAACAAGAAACAACAAAGUAACACAUUUCUUUCCCCAUCCCCACAACAUUUUACUAAAAAUUCAUUGCAUUCCCACUUGAAAGAAAAGGUCAUUGACCCAUAGGGGUUCCCAAGAAAAAUUCCCCUCCUUAAAUACAUACAAUUGUCAUAUUUACUUAUUAUCUCACAUACAAAAGGAUUUAUUGUCCUGUACUAGCCUUCUUCUAACCUUCGGAAAAUAGUUGUCUACAUUAUUUUACACUAAUUAUUCGGGCAAUUUAAUCAUUAGAAUUAUAAAAUAAAGUGAAAAUAAUGUAUAUUCCCUCCGGUCUUAUAUUAUUUGUUUUGGUUACUAACUAUAUCUGGUGCAAAAUAGUUGUCGUUUUAAAAAAUAAAGUAUAAUUAAUUACUUUUUUUUAUCAUUUUGCGCUUAGUAUUAGAUGUUCCCGGACGUAAAAACAUUGACUAUAUAGCAUAGAAAACUUAAAAGUGAAAAGUAUUAAAUAAGGGUAUAGUAAUCAAAAAGCUCUCUUAUUAACGGUUUUUGAAAGUAAAAAUAUUGACUACGUAGCAUAGCAAACUUAUAAGUGAAAAGUCAAUAAGAGAAUAGUCAAAAAGUCCUCUUAUUAUAAAAAGAAACACGGCAAUUAUAAGGGAGAGAGUACUAUCAUUUAAUUAUUAUUAAGUAAAAAUUAUUAAUAAGACAAAAAAAUAUAUAUUAUAUUUAUUUCCAUCGCACAAACACUAGAUACGAGUAGCUUUAUUUCUCCUUUCCACCUUAUAACUUAUCCUUUUCUAUCAUACUGCACUUCAAGCUACACCUACACUCAAAGCGCUAAAUCAUCCCAACCCACCCACCCACAAACAUGUAAAAACGGAUCACACUUGAUAUAUACAUAUAAAAUAAGGUAUUUAACUCUAGGAGAAACAUUAAUCACAAACUCGAAUGCAUAGAGCGACGAACAUGGCUCAAGAGUGUCUUUGUUGGUUUACAUGAUUAAACCAUCCAUGUCUUUCUUGUUCCACUAGUUAGGAGAUAAUUUAAAAAUGUUCCCUUCGUUAUUACUUAUUUUUGGAAACAUCAUUUUUUCACCUAUUAGAAAGAAAAGAACUUAAAUAAAAAUACUUAAUAGCAUAACGAUAUAUUUAUAUAAAACUUGUACCCCGAGCACACGCAAUGAAAUCGUAGACCGUCAAGUAGAGUAAAAUUAAGUUAGGCAUGUAUUAAUCAUUAUUUCUUGAUCAUAAUACCUUUAUUUGAACUUUAAUAAUUUAAUUAUUGAAGUUGGUAAUAUACAUCACAUAUUUUUGGGAUGUGCCACUUCUCCGGACCCUGCAAAAAUAUGAGAUGUUUUAUGCAUUAGGCUCCCAUUUUUUGAGGUGGUGAUAUUUCAUAUUCUUUAGAACAAUAGCUCACUAUAUUUACUUUACAUAUUUUCUUAUUUUAGUCUAUUAACCCAUAUUUGACAAACGAAAUAAGAUAAAAAAAGAAAGUAAAUUAUGCAUUUAUUUUUUUGGAACGUAAGAUUGUGUUCCUCGCAUUCACUCGUCCUCAUAAUUCGCAACAUCUGCCUCUCCUCUUAUGAACACAGAGUAAUUAAAAUAUUUAUUUACAUUCUGUGUUUACACUAUAAUUAAUAGCUAAAAAUGACUCUGAAUAUAGCUUUGUUAGAAUAAACAAUAACGAGAUGACCUCUUUAACAAAGAAUAGUGACACCUUACUACAGAUCAAUAAAUUUAAACGUGUUAUAAAAUAAAGACAGUAAAGUAAAGACAAGUAUAGAGAGAAACUGAUAUAUUAUUCAAACUUCAAACUUAUAUACAUAAUGAACUGAAAACUCUUCUAUUUAUAGAAGAAAGGAAGCAGCUGCGAAGCUUUUCAGGAAGCAGCCGCAAGGCUUUUCUUUAGCUGCUUGUAAAUUAUUUGCAUUGCUUGCAACUUGCCUGUUUAAUAAGAAGUUUCUGCAAAUUAUUUCAUUGAGCUGCUUGCAACCUGCCUGCAUCAGCUGCUUGUAGAUAAACUUAAAUAGAGUACUAAAUGAAUAAUAUUUUUCAGAAAGAUUAUCUAUAGCGGAGUAAUAAAUGGACAUCCACGGUAAAAUUAUUUUAUAACAAAACGUGUGUUUAUAUAGAGGCCAAGAGGAUAAAUAUCCAAAAAGAAAAAAAGAAAAGAAAAGAGCAGCAAAAGAAACCAAAGGAAAAGCUUACUGGCUUGGCUUUUAGAAAAGAGCCGACACUUUUCAUCUCCCAAUACGUUUCCACCGUCAAAAUAGUACUAUCACAUUCACAUCUCCAUUAUUAAAAUUGUAUGUAUUACUACUAUAACUUCCCCAUCCCCCUCUCCCUCUGUCGUCCAUCUACAGUCGAAAGGGUCAAUUAUUCUCUAACCAGAAGAAAAGUUGAACAGACUCUUGUAAGGAAAAGAAAUCUUUUUUUUUUUUCCUUUAUAGAACUAUUUCCUGAAAAUAUUUGCUUCAAUACCUUGUGUGGUCAAGUUAAUUAGAUCUUUACUGGGUUUUGAUGUUAGUUUCAUUUGGGGUUUGGUUUUUCCUCUCAAAUUAUGUUUGACUUCAGUUUUUGACAUCCGCUGAUAAAUUGAUCUUUGAAAUUAUGGGUGUAUUUUCUAUGUUGUGAUAUGUGGCCCUGAGUAUUGAUGUAAAGAUUUGAGCUUUUGCUUCACGAUUGGAUUUUUCUGUUCUGAAUUUGUUGAAUAUAGUUUGUUCUAUAAUCAACUGAUAAAUCUAAUAUACGAAAAUUAGUCCUAUGGUCUCUGAAGUCUUCUUUUACUACAUAGUUAGGUACGUUACAGGAUUUUUAUUACGAACUCCCUCUUUCUUUUUCUAGCUUUCUGUUUGAUUACAUGAAUAUUUGAUAUUUUAGAUCUGGUAAAGUAUGUCAAUAUUCUUGGAUUUUCGCGGGAGAUAGUUUGUACAGUUUUUUCUGUUGAGUUUCCGAGAAAAUGGGAAUUGCAGAGUGCUUAUAUUGUCUGGAGAUAAUAUUGGCUUUAUCUCAUAUGAACAAAACUAUGCUUCUUUUUUGGCUCAUCUAAAUAUGGAUCAAUCAACUUUUUGUUUGUCGUUUCUGUGUGAUUUGAAUUUCAGUUCUGGAAAUGUUUACUGAGAUUUUCUUAUGUUCCUUGUUAAUGUAUUUACAGGAGGGAAGAUCAUGUAAUUUGAUUGAUUUCAGUAGAUUCUGCGCUGAAUAUCGGAAAAGCAUAGGAUAAUUGAGGAUUUUGGGUAUUAUCUGGUUAAUCUUGUUCGGAUUUUGUGGAAGUUGCAAGUAGCUUCACUUUUUUGAGGGAUUAUUCUUCCUGUCAAGAUGAUGAUGUUUGAUGAUAUGAGGUUCUGUGGCGAUCUCGAUUUCUUUUCUGCUCCACUAAAAGAAGUGGAAGCGGCUGCUCCACAGACUGAGCCGGAGCCGGAGCCGGUGGUGGAUGAUGAUUAUAGUGAUGAGGAGAUUGAUGUGGAUGAGUUGGAGAGGAGAAUGUGGAGGGACAAGAUGAAGCUGAAAAGGCUGAAGGAAAUGACUAAAAGUAAGGAAGGUGUGGAUCCUGCAAAACAUCGUC
RNAcentral lists this long non-coding RNA (10823 nucleotides) under Nicotiana tabacum (common tobacco). RNAcentral's name for it is "long non-coding RNA (NTAB_LNC019526)". The record is from RNAcentral. Lineage: Eukaryota; Viridiplantae; Streptophyta; Magnoliopsida; Solanales; Solanaceae.